UCUAUCUAUCUAUCUAUCUAUCUAUCUAUGUAUCUGUAUAUCUAUUAUUUAUUUAUUUGGAUGAGCUAUUCCUUCAUGUUUUGAUGUCGAAUGCUCUGUGUUCUUCAUCAGCUGUUGAGAAUAACUCCGGCGGUGAGGAGCAGAGAGUACGUGCUGCUUUCCUUUCUGGAGCACCAGAGCUGUGAGUGCAGGCCCAGGCGACACCACCUGAGAAAUCAGCACAGAAGGAGGCGGAAGGGCAAACGCAGGAGGAGACGGAGAGGAAGGACGGAUGAGGAUUGAGACGCAGCCGGGGUCAGCCACACACUCGCAUCAGUGCAUCACGUUCACUCAUUAGUGCUCAUGUGUGUGUGUCCAGGGGCCCAUGCAUACACCACUAGUCCUAAGAAGUUAGUGGUCUAAUUUGUUUUCUGCAAGACUGGUCAUAACUGUUUCAAGUCAGUUACAAGAAGGCAGACUGGCCCCAGUUUCAAUCAGAAAAGUGAAAGAUAUCUUGGCUAACUGCUAGUUGUUCUGAAGACACGGUCUUUACAGUAGUGUCUGUGUUCAGGAGUUGAUCUCUUUUUUUUUUUUUUACCUUGAUGAAGGUGUUUUGUUUUUACAUACAUAUGUGCCAUCUAUUUAUGUCAAAUAUUUUAAUAAUUAAGUAAAAAGUAAUUCUCAGUGAAAUAUGUUACACCUGUACUGUAUAUUCAACUCAAAUAUAUCAAAAAAGUAGAUGUAAAUAAAAUCUGCUAGAAUAGAUUUGAAAUAAUGACC
Molecule: long non-coding RNA, 759 nt
Organism: Cyprinus carpio (common carp)
Lineage: Eukaryota; Metazoa; Chordata; Actinopteri; Cypriniformes; Cyprinidae
Source: Ensembl